RNAcentral lists this long non-coding RNA (6057 nucleotides) under Spirodela polyrhiza (greater duckweed). RNAcentral's name for it is "long non-coding RNA (SPOL_LNC002377)". Lineage: Eukaryota; Viridiplantae; Streptophyta; Magnoliopsida; Alismatales; Araceae. The record is from RNAcentral.
UGCUGAACAGGUGGAGUGAUCACGGGAAGCCCCCAGGAGGAGAUGUGGCAUCUAUAAUUGAUGCUGGUGUUGUCCGACCGGGGAUGGUGUUCACGGUAAGGUGAGUCACUGACAUUUCAUCAUACGGGCUCUCUCAGAAAUUUGGAAAUCUUUUUUUUUUGUUUUUUUUCAAAGGAACAGUUUUGGAUCAAAAUGAAAUAUCAUUUUUCUGACGACAGAUUGAUUACUAAAUCUGGGAAUUAUUAAUCUAUGAGGCGUCGUGCCAAGUUCCGAUGUGCAGAAGAAAAGUAACUACAGAUUGCUAAAAAGUGGUUUACUUGAGUGCAUUCUGAAAGCUAAAAUCAAUAAUAAUAAAAAAAAUUAAGACGGGACUUGGAACAACAUCCCCAGUGAAUCACCCUGUACAGGGAUAUCUUUUAAUCCAUGAUGACGAUCAUAAUAAGUCGAUGUUCAUCACAAGAUUGAGUUCUAGUAGUUUCAGCGCGUAAUAAGCAAGGUUGAAUGAACGAUGCUGAAAAUGAAAGGCUUUUGUUUAAUUCUAUUUACCACUGAAAGCAAUCGAAAACAAGAUCGUGUAAUUUAAUACUAACUUCUUUAUAACCAAAUUCUUCAAAAUAAAAAGCCUAGCACAAAACUAAGCAGAGAUAAAAUGCAAUAAUGUCAGACUCAACCCUCAAUGCAUUCGGUCGGACCAAGAUUUGGACCAUCGAAAAUGGGAAGGAGAAGGUUCAGUUCGAUGAAUGGCAAUGACUAACGGAUGAAUAAAGGGAAAUCAUUAACUUUUUUUUUGGAGGAAUAUCACCUCGAGAUUUUCCUCCAUGCUUGAAAUUUUCGGCCAGCGCAGCGGCCUGAUUGGGAUGCUGUGCAGGAUUUUCCCUUUUUUUCCUAUCAUGAACGGAGAGUUCCUAUUUUUUCACCAAUAAUUGGGGAAAAACGUCCUCAUCAGCGGAUCUUGGACGCCUAUGGAUGAAUAUAAUAGGUAUAUCGAAAUAAUCAGGUUGAAGAUGAGUAGUGAGAUCAUUUAUGAUCCAAAAAAAUGUACCAGGCAGUGACACGAAUUAGAUAGGUUUCAAUCAUCUUAUCAAAUGGAAAAUUUAGACAAGAUUCAUUUUUGACAUAUGCUUAGUGAAUGAAACCGGGAGAAAAUACAUUGAAACAUGAGCCACCACUGUCAACUCAUGAUACAAAACCUUCAUGCUAUCAUGCAAACAUUCUAGUUUCACAAAUGGCAGAUAUUCUAUACAUCUACCAUCAUAAAAUAUGGCGAAUAUGUGGAAAGAUAACAAUAAGUGAGAGGUAGAUCUACUUAACUAGAAAGAUAGUUUUUUAGUUUUUAUGGCGGAUGAUGAAACCUUUUCUUAUGAUGCAGUUCUGCUGGAGAACUCUAUGAAUUUAACAAGAACACGAAGCCAUCAUGGAAGAAGCACAUUCGGAGUCAAACAUCAAGAAACGCUCAACUGGCACCCACAACAGGAUGUAUUUUGGAUGGUUUGCUAGGCCUGCAUUCGUCCUCUUUAUUUCUUUUGAACAAGGUACUACCAACCUGUUCUGAAUAAACAGGUCCAAGGAGUUCGAAAUGUACUCAGAGUAAUAGUGAUCUUGAUUAGGACACAGAUUGACAUUAUUAAACUUGAAAAUUUCAGAACCGGCAACAUUUAAUAAUGGUGUUGAUCAUUGUAUUACAACUUUUAAAACAUUGAAAACCAUGUCGUACUGAAGAGUAAGCCCAUCUUAUAAUACAGUUUAGAUAUAUAGCAUCUAUAAGGGAGUGAUUUUGAAUCAAUUGAUGACUUCAUUCAUGGUAAGUUGAUGGUUCUAGUUUAUAUAUUCUAUAGGAUGGUUUUCUGGUGGAGAGGCGCUUGCACCAAAGGAAGUGGAAAUGGUUGACACAUGGAGCACCUAAAGGCCAAACUUUGACAGCUAUUACACCAUUUGUGCAGACUGAAAUAGAAGAUAAGAUUUCAUCUUUAUUCUUUUCUACAGCAACUGGACUCAUUUUUGAAUAUCUGCCUCCAAAACAUUCUGGUGAGUGUCAAAUUUUGCUUCAAGAGGAAAAAAUGAUAUAUUUCACAUAGUCUGAUUGAUUUACCACACCUUUUUUUUGCACGUGGCUAAAUGGAAUUUAAAACUUCGAUAAACUGGAAAUGGAAUUUAACUCGACAGGAUUUGACAGGCAUCAGUUCAGAAAAACUUCCAUAAAAUCCAAGUGUUAUGAUGUUUAUUCAUAAGAAUACUUAUGGCUCAAUGUUCGGUUUCGAAGAUCAAAAUUAAUCUUCUUAUGUCCUCUCAUGAUGACUUUCACAAAAAAAUUCACUUUUCCAAAUUGCAAACAUGGAAGUCAGAUUUCUAAAGAUUCUAAGCACACAGCCUUGUGGUGUGUCAAGAUUAGCACAAGCUAUCUCACUUUCGAAACCUACAAUUCAUGCUCAUAUCAGGUGUGCGGAAGAAAUGGUUAGUAAUAUUCACUCUCCAUGAUAAAAUAGAAGGAUCGCUAAAUAUGCAAACUGAUUUCAAACGAGGACCAUACACCACAUCAUGAAUACUAUAAAAUAUAACCAUUUACAGCUCAUUGGAGAUUUUUUGUGCAGAAACUUAAAGUAUCUUCAAGAACCUUCCCCUUGAGAAGGCAUUUUAGAUAACAGAUUCUGUUACCUUGCAGUUAUACUACGAGUAAUCCAUAGUAUAUCAUGUAAUAGACUUGAUGGAUUGUCUGUGCAUAUGAAAAGAGAGAGCGCUUCUACAUUUCUGGCAUGGAAACCCUACCAAAUCAGGAGCUUUAAAGCACGAGGAGCUUAAUCUGCUAAUAAUCUCUUUCAAACUUGCUUGUUAUGUGAUUGAAAGGACCUAUGCCUACUAAAUCAUUUCAACUUAUAUCCGUUUCUAAACGUUUUCUUUUUAUCGUAUUUCCAUUAAAAAAAAUUCUAUGUGAUUGAAGGCGAGGCUUGCUGAUGACAAUUUUUUCUCAGAGGAGUGAAUCGACUCUACUUAUAAAAUCAAAUAAAAAAAAGAUCCCACAUAUAUCUUUUCUACCCUUCUAACAAGGUGUUAAAAUAGUACUUAAAAUGGAUCAACACAAAGAUUCAUCGCCAUUAUGAUAUGAAAAAGAGCUUCACAAAAUUCUACUUGUUUAGACUAUUGGUAAGCUACAUGAUUGCAUUCUCUAUGAUCUAUUGUAAAUGCUCGAAUUAUUGUUGAAAUCAAUAUUGUUCUCUCUUUCCAUAGAGUACACAGCACUUCUAGUAGGCAUACGCUGUGCCCUUUUGUCAGAUCAAUCUCUGUGUAAUCUCCAGCACAAGUUCCCUCACUUCAUGCUCAUGACAAGUUGGCAUUAUCCUGUAAUCUAGUUCAUUCCUUGUGCUUCGGAUUUCAUUGAAAAAAUAUUAAGACGCGAGAUAGUUUUUGGGUAUAACCAAUCCCAUUGAUGAGAUAACCAAUAGUUUUUCUCAUUGCUGCCUCCAUCAAAAUCUUAUAACAACUUUGUGGGAAGUUGACAUGCAGGGGAAACAAACACAGGGACAAUGGAUAAAUCAUAUGCAUCCACAUCAUGCAAAGGUAGCAAGAGGCAUAACUGGCAUACAUCUUCAGUUUGGGAGACUAGUUUUUCCACUGGAUGAUGGUAGACUUGGAGAACUACACAUGCCAAAUUCUGGUGGAGAUCGAUUAGGCCCAAAUUAUCAGACUAAUACAAGAAGGAAAACACCACAAAAGUAUGAAUGGUCAAUCUUAGAAGUCCCUGAAACAGAGGGAUGGAACGCAGAAUAUUGCACUGAGGAACGAGGACCAGCCAAUUGCAUCACAGGUACAAAGAAUGUACUCAAAGACAAUGAAAUCAGUGAUGCAGGAAUUACGACAAUGAAAAGACGAAAGACCGAAGAAUGUACACUUUACAUUCCUCUGGGUGCUCAAGACAAAAGCGCAGUUGAAUCAUCAGAACUGAAAAACUUUCAAAAAAAAAGCAUUAGCACAAGCUUCCGGUUGCGAUCCAUGCAUGCUGAUCAAUCAUUUUUACUCACAACAGAAAGUGGAUUAAUUUUUGAGUAUCUUUACACAGAGAAUAUAUGGAUAUGGCUGAGACAUGAACACUUAACACCAAUAAUGGGAGCGUUGGCAAGUUACAAUGGAAGCUUAUUUCUGGUAGACACACAUGGGAACUUACUCAUGCUUGAAAGGAAUGAAACAGAGCUAUCAUUGAUCAACUGCACCGCGAUGAAAAGAGGAAGGAAAGUGACAGCAGGACCUCCAUGGGAUGGUGCACAUGAAAAACUUUGGAGAAUAAUGGACGAGGAUGCAUUGUUCUUUGUCAGCAAGAAAGGAAGACUUCUUCAGUUCACAGUAAGCUCAAAUACUCAAGUAGGAAAAGUAGUAUAAAACUUUAUCUUCUGCAGAGAAUAUGACUCUUAAAGAUAAUACUUCACUGAUAGAUUUACGACACCCACCAAAGAAAAAAUUCAUAAAUUCAUAAUAUCGUCUAUUGAGGACUCCUAGAAACGAUUCCUGAAACAAGAACUUCGUAAGCCUCUUUAACUGGUUUUUGAUGUUUCUAGUCUGGUAUGAAACUUUCGGUUUGGUAAAUUGCUUACGGUCACUGAGUUUAUUCUUUGAUUACUCCACUCCCCUAAUUAUACAAAGACUCCAUCAGGAAUUUCUUGCUGUGAGAAGAUCAAUAAUGGAAACAAAGUAGGAAGUUCUAAAAAAUUACAUCUUUUACACUGUUGUAGGUUGCCUUCAGAAAAUUCAAUUGGAAAGACUGCCAUCAUCCUCCAAGUACAAAGAUUGAUUUCAUUGUUGAUCAAGAAGUUAUAAGGAUGAAUAUAAUAUUUGUCAUUGGUAGAGAUGGUCGUCUCUAUCAGUACAACCGAGUGACAGAACUAUGGCAUCAACACUGCCAAUCCCCUCACUUGAUACUACAGAAGUCACCUGCAACUGCUAUUCGACAGUCCUCACGAUCAUUAAUUGGCUCUCUGUUCAUGCUCUUGGAAAACGGAGGCCUUGUUGAGUACCACUGGGACUCACAGCAUGGUUGGAUCUGGGUUGAACAUGGGCUACCAGACAGAAAUUUGACAUUUGUUGGGGCCCCGGGCCCAUCUUUGUGGGACAGUCAACUGUUCUUAGUAGGGUCAGAUGGACAAGUCUAUCGCAGGUACAUGGAUCAAGAGACGUGGAAAUGGGCAAGGCAUGGAUUUCCGUACCAAGUAAAUGCAUCUGUUGAAUUUCAGGCAACAAGUACAAGUGAUGAGGAAUAUUUUGCUCACAAUGGAAUGGAUACGCAAAAGGAGGCUAGAGAAGAUAUACAAAGCAUCAACAGCAGUUGUGAUGAUAAGGUAAGAAACAACGUCACAACUACUCGAAGAUCGAACGAUCUCAGCCAAAUGCAGGAAAAAUUGUUGCACCAUGACCAGGUAUGAAAUUGUCUUCUGAAAAUUUACAGGUAGCAGCAGUGAGGCCAAUCCGAUUCUCACAAGAUUCGAUGAUUUUCGAGCUACGGGAUGGAAGGGUAAGUCGCCGCCAAUCCAAUCUAGUGACAUGAAACAAUACCUCAUGAUGAAGAUAGACGUAUUCAGAGAGUUUCGCAUAGCAUCGCUCACAAUGGGGCUCCGUGAUUUCCCAUGUUCUCAGCUGGCGGAGCUACGAAAAUCACACGGAGACACAGAGGACUGGGAGUGGACUCGGAUCAUCGGCACCCCUACUAGUCAGUGCGCGAGUGGUUAUCUGACAGCAGUGGAUUCGUACUAAAGACGAAAAGAGCGAGGCUGACAGCAAGACCGAACUUGCAAGAAGAACACAAGAACCAUAGAGCUACAGAACGAUCUGUCUAGGGUAACAGAAACAGUAGAUUGAGCAAAAAACCAAAUGCUGAUAGAAGGGAGAGGAGCAUAGAAACAGCUCUCCUCUGUAACAUACCUAGUGCAUACCAGGGGGGAAUUCGGAAUGGCAUCGGUGUACGGUCGUCCAUCGGCAUUUCCGAACAGCAAGCGCCCCCUCCCUGCAGCAGUAAGCCGCCCCUGGAUCUGAGCGAUCGUUCCCCGGAACCUGCGGGAACCUUCGCUGCUACGUCUC